Pipra filicauda (Wire-tailed manakin) is the source of this 584-nucleotide long non-coding RNA. RefSeq lists it as uncharacterized. The transcript has 3 exons. The record is from RefSeq and is a predicted model, not a curated record. NCBI's taxonomy places the organism in Eukaryota, Metazoa, Chordata, Aves, Passeriformes, Pipridae.
CUCGCCGCCACGAGGCCGACCCCGGCCCCUCCCCGUCCCUCCGGGAGCAGCCGGAGCAGCGCGCCGGCGGGGCCUCACUUUCUUCACUUCGAAGCGCUUCUUGCCGGCGCCGCUGUUGGUGCCGCUGGGGGUGUCCACAUCCAUCGCGGCCGCCAUUUUGGGACAGAAGCAUAUCUGCGAAUUGGUACCUCUGCUCAGAUUGUAUUUUAACAACAGGACUUCACCAGUUCUCUGCAGGGCAAAGCAGUCCCCUGUGAUCCCACCAACACCCUCUUCAGGCAGCUGUCGACUUGUGCCGCCACUGAGAGCUGCUCCUGCACCCAAGUGGUUGGACUGAGGAAUCUCUUCUGUGGCAGAGGCAGACAGUAAGUCUGGCAGAAUGGAAUCAGCAACAGGGGAGAUACACCACAGGUAUGUGCCUUGUCUGCAGCUAGAGAAGGGGUUCUUUAGAGUUUCUUGAUGAAGGUCAUCUAAAAUGUUGAAGGCUUUGUUGUUUUCAAGGGACACUGCAGCAUGUGUGUAAGUCCCAGAUUAUUCAUCUCUGCAACAAGUAAGAAAAGGCCUUCAAAAACUUAGGCUCAUAG